AGAAUCAACGCUGGCGGCGCGCUUAACACAUGCAAGUCGAGCGAGAAAGGGGAGCAAUCCCUGAGUACAGCGGCGUACGGGUGAGUAACACGUGGAUCAUCUACCUUUUAGUGGGGAAUAACCCUGGGAAACCGGGCUAAUACCGCAUAACAUCGCAAGAUCAAAGCAGCAAUGCGCUUAAAAGAGGGGGUCGCGGCUGAUUAGCUAGUUGGCGGGUAACGCCCACAAGGCGAAGAUCGGUA
RNAcentral lists this ribosomal RNA (242 nucleotides) under uncultured bacterium. RNAcentral's name for it is "partial small subunit ribosomal RNA". It matches the Rfam family "Bacterial small subunit ribosomal RNA", at positions 26 to 285 of the family's 1533-position model. The record is from RNAcentral.